UUUUAUGGAGAGUUUGAUCCUGGCUCAGGAUGAACGCUGGCGGCGUGCCUAAUACAUGCAAGUCGAGCGAACAGACGAGGAGCUUGCUCCUCUGACGUUAGCGGCGGACGGGUGAGUAACACGUGGAUAACCUACCUAUAAGACUGGGAUAACUUCGGGAAACCGGAGCUAAUACCGGAUAAUAUAUUGAACCGCAUGGUUCAAUAGUGAAAGACGGUUUUGCUGUCACUUAUAGAUGGAUCCGCGCCGCAUUAGCUAGUUGGUAAGGUAACGGCUUACCAAGGCAACGAUGCGUAGCCGACCUGAGAGGGUGAUCGGCCACACUGGAACUGAGACACGGUCCAGACUCCUACGGGAGGCAGCAGUAGGGAAUCUUCCGCAAUGGGCGAAAGCCUGACGGAGCAACGCCGCGUGAGGGAUGAAGG
RNAcentral lists this ribosomal RNA (425 nucleotides) under Staphylococcus epidermidis. RNAcentral's name for it is "bacterial SSU rRNA". It matches the Rfam family "Bacterial small subunit ribosomal RNA", at positions 1 to 414 of the family's 1533-position model. Lineage: Bacteria; Bacillati; Bacillota; Bacilli; Caryophanales; Staphylococcaceae. The record is from RNAcentral.